Molecule: ribosomal RNA, 253 nt
Filed under: uncultured bacterium
Lineage: Bacteria
Description: partial 16S ribosomal RNA
Rfam family: Bacterial small subunit ribosomal RNA
Source: RNAcentral
UACGAAGGGCCCGAGCGUUGCGCGGAAUCACUGGGCUUAAAGCGUACGUAGGCGGACAGACAGGCGUCUUGUGAAAUCCCUCGGCUCAACCGAGGAAUUGCUCGGCGAACCGUCUGUCUUGAGGCAAGUAGGGGCUGUCGGAACGAUAGGUGGAGUGGUGAAAUGCGUUGAUAUCUAUCGGAACGCCGAAGGAGAAAUCAGGCAGCUGGGCUUGUCCUGACGCUGAGGUACGAAAGCGUGGGGAGCGAACGGG